UUUCAAAGGAUCUUUUGCCUUGUUCUGCAGAGGAACUUGUAAAUGUACAUAUUCUGGCUGUUAAUGAUGAUUUUUAAGAAUAGUUUUGAUAGAUUUAAAUUGAAUGUGUUGUAGUACAUUAUGCCAGUGCUUUGAUUCAGGUGAUCACACUGUUGUUUGAUUCCUUAUUGAUGCUUGCAAUGCUGUGUUUAUUAUUAAUUCAAAUUACUAUUCAGCCUGAACCGCUCAUUGUACAGAUUACAUUCAAACUUAAUAUUUUAGAUAAUUCCAGUGUCUAUGCAUACUAUCUAGUUGGAAUACUAGAAACUUUAAGAGUCAAAUUUGAAAAUUAUUUUGUGUAAGAAAAAUGUACUUAAUUCAAGAUGUAGUCUCUGAGAAGAAGAAAAAAGUCUUAUCUCACACAAUUUAUCUUGUUUUCAAGAUUUUUAUAGAUUUUUACUGGAAAACAUAACAAAAUACGGAUUUAUUUAUAUAUUUUUCCAGUGUGGGAAUACAAGAUUGCAAAAUGCAACUUUUGUGGAUUAAAUGAUGUUUUUGGCCCUUGGCCUUCAAAAGUCAGCACUGUAGUCAUUUCUGUUGUGAACAGCCAAACAUUUUGAGAUGUCUAUUUGAACAGGAUGAGUUGAAGAAUAUGAGUUAAAUUAAAGACAGGAAGUGGCUCAGGAACAGACAGGGAAUGGAUCAGAGCAUAUGUAUUUGAUUAAAGAAGCUCUUUGGCUUAAACGUUUCAGCACGUUUAUGUAGGCAGAAUGUGAGAACUCCAGGAUUUCUCAAGACACACUUGGAAAUGUCUCUCACUGCAGAACACGGUCAUUAUUUAUAAACUUUUAAGACAUUUUUUCCCUUACUAUUUUGUGUGGUCUAAUCAAUGACAGUGAUGCAGCUGGAAUGCAUCCUUGAGAAUUCCUGUUUUGUGUCAUUUCCUGUUGAUCAGAGCCAGAAUGUGUCCCAGCAGCUGUAUGGAAUAUAUGAGAGAACACUAUGUGUGUGUUUGUGUGGAUGUAAUUUUGGCUGUUUUAUGUGUUUGAAGCAGCAGUUGAGUUUUUUCACUAUGCUUGUUGGGGUCUCUGGCUUCUAUCAAAAUGAAUCAGAGAAAAAAAAAGUUGGCUUUAGCUGAGAUUUGUGACAGGAACAUGUACAACUAGAUUAUGAUGUUGUCUGAAGAAAUUGUGUGUAGUGCUUGUCCAUAUACUAGGGUGUAGUGGAUGGUUGCCAGGAUGUUGCUAACAGGGAUGUCAAUUUUCAGAUAUUUUCAUAAUCACUUGUCGUGGAAAUUAACGAUCAAUUAAUCGUUAACAUUAAUAUCGCAAAACGCAUGCGGAGGACUCCAAAUAAUAUGUGAGUGUAGACUGUUGUUUAAAUAUAAUUUAAAUAAGUAAAUGCAAGUAUUGGCAUUUUCCUCUUAAAAUAUUCUUAGUUCAGUGUAUUUAAAUACAUUUAGGCAAAGUUUAGUUCGAAUUUGGGAUUUGUGUAAUUACUGCUAAUGAAAUGCUGUUAAUAACUUCUAUCUUAAGAUACUUAAGCUAUAUAAUUUGUAUACAUAUUUGAAUUCAUUCAAACUUCCUGUUGUGGAUCGUGGGAUAUUUCGGAUCUUUUUUUUAUUAUUAGAAAUUAAGUCAAAUCAUAACACGCUGUGUAAACACAGUACACAACAUAGGCUACCACUUCUCUGGUGUUAGUGUGAGUCAGCUGAAUGAACCUUCUUGCUUUCCCGGUGAUCGUUGGCGUUAUUGUGGGUUGGGAUGAAACGAGGAGAUCAAUAGUGCUUGUUUUCUUGUUGUACUUUAUCACUGUGUGUGCAGAAAACAUGAAUGUUCAUUUAAAGAGAAACGCUCCAACAUUGUUUACAUUGAGCCCGAUUCAUCUCUCUGAUCUGUGCAUCGGCUCUCUUCUUCUGUGAACAGGAUAAUGACAUGCAGAGCGCUAGUGGUGCACCAAUCGGGAAAUUUUAAGCCGAUACGAUCACCGAUUUUUUUAACACUAAGAUUGUCCGAUACCAAUUUGUUUUAACAGUGUCCUUAGCCACACUUUUGCAAGUUAUAUUCUGCAGUUAUGUUUAUGCCCCACAGAGUAAAAUUACAUUAAUUGUGAAUUGCUAACAUUUAUUUGUAUUGAAAACAGUUAUGAAUAGUUCAGUUGUCAAUAUCAAAUGUCAUUGUGACAUACUGGCAGCCAGUAAAAACCAUGAGAGCAUCACACACAGCAGAGAUAUGUUCAAAAGUAAGAAAGUUGUCUGUUACUAGCUCCAAAUCUGCUCCUGUGAGGAAUAAUUAGUAUUUAUGAUUUGUUUACCACCUUUGGCGUUUUGUUGCAAUACAAAUCACAAAUUAUUAAGCAAAUGCGUGAAGACACGGUGCCGUUAUUUAAGGUUAAACAGUUAUAUCUGUUAUUAGUGGCAUUGCGACUAACAUCAGUCUGAUUUAAAUUGGGAUCCUCAGUUAAAUUGGGAAUAGUGCUGAGAUGAGUGACUGAUGAGAUAAUGAGCACCUGGAGAGCGCGAUUGUUUGAUUGACACCAAGAGUGCUCCUGUUGAAGGGGGAGAUGUUGCAGCCUCUCACAUAAAAUUCAGCAAGUGUGUGCCGAUUUUUCUUUAGGUGAAAUCGGUCUAUGCUGGCACGUAAUUUGAGGAAGGAGCCAAGAUGCAGGAUGGCAAUGAAAGGGGUUUUAUGGAAAAAAUAAUUACAAAUUAUAAACAAAAACUCACAAGGGAGAAAACAAGUAUAACAAGACAACAAUAAAACUGAAAACAAACCAACUGGGGAUAUCUGGAAAUGGCAGGAACAACACGACUGGAAACAAAACACAAAGAUAUGGCAGGGAAGACAAGACAAUGGAGAGAAUAUAUAGAGGAAUAGGAAUGAGCCACAGGUGGUGCUGAUCUACUAAUGAGCCGAGCAAAUCAGCAUUGCCAUGGCAAUGCUGAUUGCACUGCUGAGCAGCACCAGUGAGAAACACGAGGGAAAGAGAAAAACAAAAGCACAUGGAUGACCUGAGAGAUGGGUGGAGGAAACUGUCACAAUCCUGCCACAUAAAGAAUAAUACAAGACCUAAAUUGCAGAAUCAUGACACAUAUAGGGUUACAAUGUUAAACUGCAGUUUGCUAAAAAUGGCUCAAAUUUAGUGUUUUUUUUUUUUUUGAGAAACCCUGCAUUUACUAUACAGUAUGCUGUUCAAAAUUGUUCAUGAUGUUGACAAAUUAUACAUCUGUAUAUUUCGUCAACAUUACUAACUCAUUUUUGACUAGACUAUAUAGUAAAUAUGACCUAAUUUAAGCAAAGUGACAUCAGUUCUGUGGUAUGCACGCACAUCAACAGGUUAAGUUGCAGGGUAUAUAUAGAGAGAGAGGAUCUAAAGGCACAAAUAUUCCUAUACUUGUUAGACGAAAUGAGACGUUUCCUUCAUUCCGAUGAAAACAUGCACAUUCCUCCAGCGCGAGAGGCACAGGGGUCUCGUGGUCGCCCGUUCUGUGACUAGCUCGACUGUCCUCAAAGAGAGAACCAUUCAUUUGUUAAGUGACAUGCCCUCGAGUCAAAAGCUGCACGAAAUCUGGCAACUUUUCAUCAGUUAAGAAAGGCAGCGAUGGGAGAAGAGAAAAGCUCUGUAGUGUGACGGGCCAAUCUGUGCUGCCUGUGAUAAACAUCACAUGAUCUGUGCGCUGUCUACAAUGUGAGCCCCAUUUAUUGCGUGCAAACAGCAAUUUUGAAGCAUCAAAACAUAAAAAGUGCGGUGAUGUAUUUAUACAUUGAAGCCAUGUAUGUGUGCAUGAAUGCUGGCUAUUCAUCAUAACAGCAUAUGAGUUAUCCCACCACUGGUAGGUUGAUGAACAUUGGUGACAUUCUUGUUAAGGGGGUUUUAUAUAAGGUUACAGUGUCACAUCACCCUAGCUAACUGAGCGUAUCACAGGCCCGUGAGUCUCAGCAUGUCUCGUGGCAGUCUCGACUGAUUUAUCUUCUCCUCUCUCUAUGGAGCCGCUGGAACGGGCCCCCUCUGUCUCACAGGAGUCGACUGCAGAUUAACUGAGGAACCCUGGACAUGAUUGAACAUUUAUAUUAAAGCUACACUAUGUAACUUUUGGCCCUCUAGCAGUUAAAAAAUAAAACUGCAUGCGUCUUGCGGAGGAACAUUGUUUUGGUAAUGACGCAAGUUGUGCUUCGGCUCUGCUCCUCUGCGCGGAUGAAUGUGGUUCGAGGCAAUGGUGUACACAUGGAUACAGGACACCUUAUCAGAGUGAAUGGACAAAUAAAUAACGAAAGAAAGGAAAAGACGGAUAUCCGAAAACAUGUCAUCUGAGCAGAUAAGUGCCAUAUCUUAUGCUGUUGUUUUGACUUAUUGGAAACAUUGAUGUUUUGAAAUAAAUGACGUUACAAAAGUUAGGCAACGUUCGUUAACAUGAGACAUAACGAUUGUUAGUCUGAUAAGGUCAAACGUUAUGAAGUUUUUAUAACUGCAGGAUAUUCUGGCCAAAUAGACCAUGAUAGUAACUAAUUUAUAGAUUGUCAUUGGUACCAACCAGUGGUCAAUAUUAUUUCAAGACUCACAUGUCCUUGGCAAGCCUAGGACUUAAGGAUUUAUUUACAUAAAUGAUUGCUAUUAUAAAAAAAAAUACACACGUGUGCUUGCUAGUGAAAAGUUCUGCAUUGAUUACGGUAUAAUUAUUGUAUUUCACUACACACACACACAGACGUGUGUGUUUGUGUGAUUACACAACUAUAUAUAAACCAUAUUGUAGCGCGGAGGAGGGCAGGGCCGGGCGGAAUGACGGACGCCCAGACCCCAAUCAGCCUGAUGAGGCGAGCGAGGGAUAAAGGCAACCGAAGGAGGCAGCUUGAGAGAGAAAGAAUUAUGGGCAGCUGUCCUGUAUUUGUUUGUGUGUCUUUUUAUUUAAUUUCUCGCCUCCUCCUUUCCCUUGUACCCCCUUUACAUUGGUGCCGAAACCCGGGAGGGAGGAGGGAUGCCCAUUGUAGAGUCCUCGACACUGCCGUCCACCCAGGGGAGCGCCGCUACCAUCCGCCAGGGGACGUAGUAGCCUGACCGCGGGGAACGGCCGCCGUCCACGAGGUGAGGAGGGACGGGACUCCCCAACCGCCUGGAGUGAUGGAGUCACUGCCAGGGGUGGUGGAGUGUCCCCACUUGCCGCCAGAAAAGCGGAGGGGCGUUCUGUCCGCUGGGGGUCGGUGGUUUAACUCCGGUCCACCCGGGGAGGAGCGGCUGUCGUCCGCCUGGGAGGGUGGAGUGAUUGUGGACCACGCGACGGCACAUCAGAGAAUCGGUUGAGGAUGGUGGGGAUGACCUGCCGGCAGACGGGGCGCUAGGCACGUCCCCCACCCCGGAGUGGGCUCCCCGGCCUGAGGCAACGCAGGGAGGAGUGUAGCGCGGAGGAGGGCGGGGCCGGGCGGAAUGAUGGACGCCCGGACCCCAAUCAGCCUGAUGAGGCGAGCGAGGGACAAAGGCGACCGAAGACGGCAGAGAGAGAGAGAAUUAUGGGCAGCUGCCCUGUAUGUGUUUGAGUGUCUUUUUAUUUAAUUAAAUAUUAUUUACACUGUUAAGCCGGUUCUCGCCUCCUCCUUUCCCUUGUACCCCCUUUACACGUAUCAAUAAAAUAUCUUACCUGUUGAGUAACAAAAAAGCCAUCUCUGUGUCACUUUUUAAUCGUUUUAGAUCUCGGAGUCAUAUCUGUCCAUAUGACGUAUGUAUGUAAUUUCCCGCAAAA
This is a long non-coding RNA of Myxocyprinus asiaticus (Chinese sucker), 5710 nucleotides long. RefSeq lists it as uncharacterized. The record is from RefSeq and is a predicted model, not a curated record. The transcript is spliced from 3 exons. Lineage: Eukaryota; Metazoa; Chordata; Actinopteri; Cypriniformes; Catostomidae.